Molecule: transfer RNA, 70 nt
Filed under: Schistocerca piceifrons peruviana
Lineage: Eukaryota; Metazoa; Arthropoda; Insecta; Orthoptera; Acrididae
Description: tRNA-Val
Source: RNAcentral
AGAUAUAACCUAUUAGUAAAGUGUUUCCUUUACCCCGAAAAUUUUUCCGGGCAAAUCAGGAUAUCCUGAU